CGCCGCGUGAGUGAUGAAGGCUUUCGGGUCGUAAAACUCUGUGUAGGGAAGAACAAGUACAAGAGUAACUGCUUGUACCUUGACGGUACCUAACCAGAAAGCCACGGCUAACUACGUGCCAGCAGCCGCGGUAAUACGUAGGUGGCAAGCGUUAUCCGGAAUAUUGGGCGUAAAGCGCGCGCAGGCGGUUUCUUAAGUCUGAUGUGAAGGCCCACGGCUCAACCGUGGAGGGUCAUUGGAAACUGGGGAACUUGAGUGCAGAAGAGAAAAGCGGAAUUCCACGUGUAGCGGUGAAAUGCGUAGAGAUGUGGAGGAACACCAGUGGCGAAGGCGGCUUUUUGGUCUGUAACUGACGCUGAGGCGCGAAAGCGUGGGGAGCAAACAGGAUUAGAUACCCUGGUAGUCCACGCCGUAAACGAUGAGUGCUAAGUGUUAGAGGGUUUCCGCCCUUUAGUGCUGCAGCUAACGCAUUAAGCACUCCGCCUGGGGAGUACGGUCGCAAGACUG
Molecule: ribosomal RNA, 507 nt
Filed under: uncultured Bacillota bacterium
Lineage: Bacteria; Bacillati; Bacillota
Description: bacterial SSU rRNA
Rfam family: Bacterial small subunit ribosomal RNA
Source: RNAcentral